AUUGAACGCUGGCGGCAGGCUUAACACAUGCAAGUCGAGCGGGGUGAUGGUGCUUGCACUAUCACUUAGCGGCGGACGGGUGAGUAAUGCUUAGGAAUCUGCCUAUUAGUGGGGGACAACAUCUCGAAAGGGAUGCUAAUACCGCAUACGUCCUACGGGAGAAAGCAGGGGAUCACUUGUGACCUUGCGCUAAUAGAUGAGCCUAAGUCGGCUUAGCUAGUUGGUGGGGUAAAGGCCUACCAAGGCGACGAUCUGUAGCGGGUGUGAGAGGAUGAUCGGCUCAGCUGGGACGGAGAAUCGGACCCGCGCCAUACGGGAGGCAGCAGUGGGGAAUAUUGGACAAUGGGGAGAACCCUGAUCCAGCCAUGCCGCGUGUGUGAAGAAGGACUUAUGUUGUAAAGCACUUUAAGCGAGGAGGAGGCUCUUUUGGUUAAUACCCAAGAUGAGUGGACGUUACUCGCAGAAUAAGCACCGGCUAACUCUGUGCCAGCAGCCGCAGUAA
RNAcentral lists this ribosomal RNA (502 nucleotides) under uncultured bacterium. RNAcentral describes it as "partial 16S ribosomal RNA". It matches the Rfam family "Bacterial small subunit ribosomal RNA", at positions 30 to 523 of the family's 1533-position model. The record is from RNAcentral.